UACCAGCACCCCCGAGUGGUCGGGACGAUUAUUGGGCCUAAAGCAUCCGUAGCCGGUCCUGCAAGUCUUCCGUUAAAUCCAGCUGCUCAACAGAUGGGCUGCGGGAGAUACUACAGGGCUAGGAGGCGGGAGAGGCAAGCGGUACUUUAUGGGUAGGGGUAAAAUCCGCUGAUCCAUAGAAGACCACCAGUGGCGAAGGCGGCUUGCCAGAACGCGCUCGACGGUGAGGGAUGAAAGCUGGGGGGAGCAAACCGG
This 255-nucleotide ribosomal RNA is filed under the name uncultured bacterium. Its description in RNAcentral is "partial 16S ribosomal RNA". It matches the Rfam family "Archaeal small subunit ribosomal RNA", at positions 474 to 727 of the family's 1478-position model. The record is from RNAcentral.